UCCCUCUCAGGGUCACAGCUGGAGAGUUUCCAGUACUCUACCAGUCUCAGCUACGGGAGGGAGAGUCAAGCCGAGGUCUACCCAUUCCAUUCCUAGCUUGGGCAGUGACUAGUGAGUAGAAGGUAAUUGGCUACAAGU
Molecule: small nucleolar RNA, 138 nt
Organism: Tachyglossus aculeatus (Australian echidna)
Lineage: Eukaryota; Metazoa; Chordata; Mammalia; Monotremata; Tachyglossidae
Source: RefSeq, a predicted model, not a curated record